CGAUGGNUAGGGGUUCUGAGAGGAAGGUCCCCCACAUUGGAACUGAGACACGGACCAGACUCCUACGGAAGGCAGCAG
Molecule: ribosomal RNA, 78 nt
Filed under: uncultured bacterium
Lineage: Bacteria
Description: partial 16S ribosomal RNA
Rfam family: Bacterial small subunit ribosomal RNA
Source: RNAcentral